Armigeres subalbatus is the source of this 793-nucleotide long non-coding RNA. RefSeq lists it as uncharacterized. Lineage: Eukaryota; Metazoa; Arthropoda; Insecta; Diptera; Culicidae. The record is from RefSeq and is a predicted model, not a curated record. The transcript is spliced from 3 exons.
AAACUAAGAGCGAAGUAAUUUUAACCAUGGUCGUGUAGUAAAAAUAACAAUUCUGUGUAUUGCUAAAUAAAUUGAUAGAUCUUAUUAAUAACAACAUUGUUGUUAAAUUCACUAUGUUGUCAUGACAUAUUUUACUAUGCCCAUAGUAAAAAAACUGCUACUCCUGUCAACUUGAUAUUUUUUUUCAAAGCACUCAAUUUUAUUCACUCUGUGCUAGCAAAUUUUAGUUCAUUAAUUAUUUAUAUCAUAUAAUGAUGAAAUCUGUGCACCAAAAGGCAAUCAAAUUGUAGUAAUGGAUGCAGAGCAAAUUGAUGCCCGUGACAAAAACCCGGAGCUCUGGAAAAUGUUCAGUGGAUUCAUCAAUUUAUUAUAUUUUUACCGAACAUGGCGUAAUGACGGAUUUUGUGAUCAUCUCAGCGGCCAAUGAUGCGGCCGUGAACUCGGCCGUGAAGGAUUUUUUUUCGGUGACGAGAAAAAAAAUGUAGCAACGAGAUCCGAGGACCGGUAAUUCCGGUGUUUGCAUCCAAACAACAUCUCUCGUGAACACCUUCUCAUAUUCUGUCUACACAAGUUACUUUGACUUUCUGAACAACAAUCUCGGAUGGAACGAAAACGGAAAAUUGGGACCCAGUUUCAUAAAAUGCACCUGCGUUAAAACAACCAACAUAGCGAACACCAGGUUUACCGUGGUUGACCAAGUGGUCGAAUAUUACAAUACGAAUGGCAACGUCAGAUAUUUUACGAUUUUACUAAAGUAUCACGUAGAAAACUUUACCAUUUCUACUAUUAAUUA